This 670-nucleotide ribosomal RNA is filed under the name Ambispora gerdemannii. RNAcentral's name for it is "eukaryotic LSU rRNA". It matches the Rfam family "Eukaryotic large subunit ribosomal RNA", at positions 58 to 634 of the family's 3401-position model. Lineage: Eukaryota; Fungi; Glomeromycota; Glomeromycetes; Archaeosporales; Ambisporaceae. The record is from RNAcentral.
AAAGAAACUAACAAGGAUUCCCUUAGUAACGGCGAGUGAAGUGGGAAUUGCACGAAUUUAAAAUCUGGCCAGUUUCUGGUCCGAAUUGUAAUCUAAAGGAGCGUUUUCCGCGUCCAGCUCGAGUAUAGGUCCCUUGGAAUAGGGCAUCAUAGAGGGUGAGAAUCCCGUCUGUGACACGAGUUUGGGGGUGAUAUGAUGCGCUUUCGACGAGUCGAGUUGUUUGGGAUUGCAGCUCAAAAUGGGUGGUAAAUUCCAUCUAAGGCUAAAUAAUGGCAAGAGACCGGUAGCGAACAAGUACCGUGAGGGAAAGAUGAAAAGAACUUUGAAAAGAGAGUUAAACAGUACGUGAAAUUGUUGAAAGGGAAACGAUUGAAGCCAGUCGUGCUGGCGGGAAAUCAGGCUCCGGGAUUACUGGGGGUGCACUUUCUCGCAAGGCAGGUUAGCAUCAAUUUCGUAAGUCGUAAAAAGUCCGUCGGAAUGUGAUUCCUUUCGGAGUGUUAUAGCCAGCGGUCAAUGCGACGCGCGGGAUUGAGGAUUGUAGCGGGUGCCUUUUAGGCUAAGUGCCUGGCCCUUGUUCGUGAUCGACUCGGCAACAGCGUGCUGGUGUCAGGAACGAUUCGUGGACAUGGGGUGUAGCGUCACGGUAAACUCGCUAAGGAUGCUGACGUAA